Molecule: ribosomal RNA, 497 nt
Filed under: uncultured bacterium
Lineage: Bacteria
Description: partial 16S ribosomal RNA
Rfam family: Bacterial small subunit ribosomal RNA
Source: RNAcentral
GAUGAACGCUGGCGGCGUGCCUAAUACAUGCCAGUCGAGCGAACGGACGAGAAGCUUGCUUCUCUGAUGUUAGCGGCGGACGGGUGAGGAACACGUGGAUAACCUACCUAUAAGACUGGGAUAACUUCGGGAAACCGUAGCUAAUACCGGAUAAUAUUUUGAACCGCAUGGUUCAAAAGUGAAAGACGGUCUUGCUGUCACUUAUAGAUGGAUCCGCGCUGCAUUAGCUAGUUGGUAAGGUAACGGCUUACCAAGGCAACGAUGCAUAGCCGACCUGAGAGGGUGCUCGGCCACACUGGAACUGAGACACGGUCCAGACUCCUACGGGAGGCAGCAGUAGGGAAUCUUCCGCAAUGGGCGAAAGCCUGACGGAGCAACGCCGCGUGAGUGAUGAAGGUCUUCGGAUCGUAAAACUCUGUUAUUAGGGAAGAACAUAUGUGUAAGUAACUGUGCACAUCUUGACGGUACCUAAUCAGAAAGCCACGGCUAACUACGUG